RNAcentral lists this ribosomal RNA (444 nucleotides) under uncultured bacterium. RNAcentral describes it as "SSU rRNA". It matches the Rfam family "Bacterial small subunit ribosomal RNA", at positions 26 to 518 of the family's 1533-position model. The record is from RNAcentral.
AGAGCGAACGCUGGCGGCAGGCCUAACACAUGCAAGUCGAGCGCCCCGCAAGGGGAGCGGCAGACGGGAGAGUAACACGUGGGAACGUGCCCUUUGGUUCGGAACAACACAGGGAAACUUGUGCUAAUACCGGAUAAGCCCUUACGGGGAAAGAUUUAUCGCCAAAGGAUCGGCCCGCGUCUGAUUAGCUUGUUGGUGAGGUAACGGCUCACCAAGGCGACGAUCAGUAGCUGGUCUGAGAGGAUGAUCAGCCUCACUGGGACUGAGACACGGCCCAGACUCCUACGGGAGGCAGCAGUGGGGAAUAUUGGACAAUGGGCGCAAGCCUGAUCCAGCCAUGCCGCGUUGGUGAUGAAGGCCCUAGGGUUGUAAAGCCCUUUCGGCGGGGAAGAUAAUGACGGUACCCGCAGAAGAAGCCCCGGCUAACUUCGCGCCAGCAGCCGC